Molecule: long non-coding RNA, 505 nt
Organism: Octopus sinensis (East Asian common octopus)
Lineage: Eukaryota; Metazoa; Mollusca; Cephalopoda; Octopoda; Octopodidae
Exons: 2
Source: RefSeq, a predicted model, not a curated record
GCAUAAUGGCUAAUAAUUAGUAUCGAAACUACGGCUGGAAUCAUGAAGUCAGCUUCAUUGUUUUUCUCUGUUAAGACGUCAAUUUACCGUUCUGCUCGAAGAAGUUUUAAGAACUUCCAUGGAAAAGUGGAAUUAAAGUUGACGAAGAACGUUGAAAAACCCGAUCUAGCAACGAGAUCCUUUCCUUCGUCUAUGUUUCUUAAAAAUGAAUAUUGGAUGAUUUUGGCAUAAGUUUUUACAUGAGAUGCAUCGUCAAUGUUUAUCAUCUUUUAAAGACUUAAGGAAGUUGUUAUACAAAAUAGAUAUAACCCAUUUUUAUAUAAAUCUGUCGAAGAAUCAGGUUGGAAUUAUUACCAAUAUUGUUUUACCUCACCGUCUGGAAUGGACAUAAGAUAAUUUUGCAUUCGAACUAAAUACAAACAUAAUUACAAAACAGCUUUCAGCAUCUUGUGAUAUCAACAAAAUAUCACGGUUGAUUGGAAUAUAGCAGAAAUACUAAAAAUUG